RNAcentral lists this long non-coding RNA (312 nucleotides) under Panax ginseng (ginseng). RNAcentral describes it as "long non-coding RNA (PGIN_LNC015846)". Lineage: Eukaryota; Viridiplantae; Streptophyta; Magnoliopsida; Apiales; Araliaceae. The record is from RNAcentral.
UUUCUUUAGGAAUAACACAACACAACACAACACAAAUGAGAAUUCAGAUACGUGUCACCUGCCAAGCAUCUUUUUCUUUUUCCAUAUCUCUUGAGUAUGUGUGCUGUGUUGCAUAUGCAGGUGAAAGGUGGGAAACAAAUGCUCUACUGGAAUAGAAGAAGUGCGUAAAAAGAAUCUGGCAUGGAUGGAAAAGAAAGAAAAAGGUUUGGCCGGAGGAGAGUCGAGAUCAUUACCGGUACCCCAAUAUGACUUGCAAGUUCCAUCCCAUCCCAUCCCAUCCCAUCCCUUCCCUAAAAGAAAAGUAGAAGUAGC